RNAcentral lists this ribosomal RNA (278 nucleotides) under uncultured bacterium. RNAcentral describes it as "partial 16S ribosomal RNA". It matches the Rfam family "Bacterial small subunit ribosomal RNA", at positions 234 to 504 of the family's 1533-position model. The record is from RNAcentral.
CGGUGCAUUAGCUAGUUGGUGGGGUAACGGCCUACCAAGGCUGCGAUGCAUAGCCGACCUGAGAGGGUGAUCGGCCACACUGGGACUGAGACACGGCCCAGACUCCUACGGGAGGCAGCAGUAGGGAAUCUUCGGCAAUGGACGAAAGUCUGACCGAGCAACGCCGCGUGAGUGAAGAAGGUUUUCGGAUCGUAAAACUCUGUUGUUAGAGAAGAACAAGGACGUUAGUAACUGAACGUCCCCUGACGGUAUCUAACCAGAAAGCCACGGCUAACUAC